UAUUAUUUUUUGUCUCGUACAUUUUUGACCCACUAUGCACCACUGUCUGGGGCCAUGUACGAACACAGUUUAUCGUACAUUUUUAUAGCUGUCAGUGCGUUGGCUGUCAAGUGUCAAAAACAUUUGCAACGCGCUCAGCGCCGUGCGGGCAAAAUGCAAAAUGCAAAUGCACUUACGAACGUCUCUCGCCAAAUGCCUGACAAUGACAAGCCAACAGAAGAAACAUACAUAUUGUACAUAUAUAAAUAUAUAUACAACUUGCACGAUGGAUUCGCAUUGUUUGCCACACAGAAAGAGAGAGAGAGAGACAGAGAGAGAUGGAGAGAGAUAUGUAUUACACAAGUCAGAGUGGGGAUUUGUACAAUAGUUUCGAACAGGGGCGACUAUCUGACUGACUGACUGACUGACAUGACUGAACGUGUGUAAUGAUUAUGGGUAUGAUGUUGAUGAUGCUCUGACAUUGCCCUGACGCCUUGAUUAAACUGUCAUUUAACUUCAUUUAUUUUGACAUAAAACUGACAAGAGAGAGACCCUCAUCCCAAGCCAAGUGGCAGAAUAUAUUCAAUUUCAGCGAAUAAAAUGUGCACGAGAGAGAAAUGGCUUAUUUUAAAGCCCGAUGAGGUCACCUAUCUAACUAUCUAACAAUCUAUCGGAUUGAAAGUUCAAUUAAUAGAUCAAGGCACGAAUUAUAUUGCUUAUUCUAUGGUUUAUCUGAUUAAGUAACAAAUCAAUUGCACAAGUCAUUCGAUUCGAUUCGAUUCGAUUCGUUGAGGAGGCAACAACACUCAUUUAAUGCUAAAUAACAAGUGAUUAAAAUUCGCUUUGCGCCGCCGAUAUAAAGCUGUCACUAGACAUAAAUUACAAUAUGUCAGGUCUCAAGAACCUUUGACUUUUAUUAAUGUAAACAUGGAAAGCAACACGCAUGCUGAACAGACACAGGCACAGCUACAGCUACAGCUACAGCUACAACAUGCUGACACUGAAAGCCGAGAUAAGUUACCCACAAGACUCGGGGCCGGGCCCCAAGACUCGAGGCCAAAAGACGGAGGGAGAGACCCAAAGACUGGCUCCACAGAGCCAGGCAGGCAGCACGCUGACAGGCAAAAGUCUGGACCGAAAGAAGAUGCAAUACUUGAGGUAAACCGACUGAAUGUCCGACUAAUAUUAUGACUCUGAUUGAAAUACCGCUUUCGUCUGGCACACGGGCAACAGCUUCAUUUCGACAGCGGCAACAAAGUUUAUUGGCAACAGACACACACACACACACACACA
RNAcentral lists this unclassified non-coding RNA (1272 nucleotides) under Drosophila pseudoobscura pseudoobscura. RNAcentral's name for it is "GA31859". Lineage: Eukaryota; Metazoa; Arthropoda; Insecta; Diptera; Drosophilidae. The record is from RNAcentral.